GGGGAUGCCAUGGCUUCGACGGGGGAGGCUGGAUCCGGAUUGCGAGUCGAGAGGCGCCCGAUCUCGUAAAAUCAGCGCAAAAAAUUAAGUGCCAACAAUCGCACUUCCUACGCUGCAAUGCCGUUAGCCGCUUAAGCGACCGGCGUUCAGCCUGACCUUUUCAGGUCACGUCCGCCCGAAUCGUAUCCUGACCGAUCGCGGAGCGGGCGCCAUAAUGUCAGGAUGCUGACCGCGAAUUCACGGCGCGGGACAAAAGAGGACUUUCGGGUCUGAGUGAAUCGCUUCCGUCGAGUGCGUUCCGUCUCUCGAUGAUAAGCUAAAAUGAAACGGAAAUACGCUCGUAGUAUAUUCGAGGUUCGAUUCUUUCGGACGCGGGUUCGACUCCCGCCAUCUCCACUC
RNAcentral lists this transfer-messenger RNA (399 nucleotides) under Anaerolineaceae. Its description in RNAcentral is "Flexilinea sp001717545 Standard tmRNA". It matches the Rfam family "transfer-messenger RNA". Rfam says of the family: Bacterial tmRNA, also known as 10Sa RNA or SsrA, is named for its dual tRNA and mRNA-like properties. Its role is to liberate the mRNA from a stalled ribosome. To accomplish this part of the tmRNA is used as a reading frame that ends in a translation stop signal. The record is from RNAcentral. Lineage: Bacteria; Bacillati; Chloroflexota; Anaerolineae; Anaerolineales. RNAcentral also lists the same sequence under 1 other name.